GCGAGGGUGGCGGAAUUGGUAGACGCACUGGAUUUAGGAUCCAGCGAGGCAACUCAUGGGGGUUCAAGUCCCCCCCUUCGUACCA
This 85-nucleotide transfer RNA is filed under the name Desulfovibrio sp. Its description in RNAcentral is "tRNA-Leu". It matches the Rfam family "tRNA". Rfam says of the family: Transfer RNA (tRNA) molecules are approximately 80 nucleotides in length. Their secondary structure includes four short double-helical elements and three loops (D, anti-codon, and T loops). Lineage: Bacteria; Pseudomonadati; Thermodesulfobacteriota; Desulfovibrionia; Desulfovibrionales; Desulfovibrionaceae. The record is from RNAcentral.